RNA transcript from Otolemur garnettii (small-eared galago), 1667 nucleotides. It is a transcript of the gene named glucose-6-phosphate isomerase-like, with no coding region annotated. The record is from RefSeq and is a predicted model, not a curated record. The transcript has 3 exons. Lineage: Eukaryota; Metazoa; Chordata; Mammalia; Primates; Galagidae.
AUGGCCGCGCUCACCCAGACCACAGUGCCAGAAGCUGCAGCAGCGGUACCGCGAGCACGGCUCCCAGCUCCACCUGCGCAGCCUUCUCGAAGCCAACAAGGAGCGCUUCAGCCAUUUCAACACCUCAACACCAACCAUGGGCAUAUUCUGGUGGAUUACUCCAAGAACCUUGUGACGGAGGAGGUGAUGAAGAUCCUGGUGGACCUGGUCAAGUCCAGGGGUGUGGAGGCUGCCUGGGAGCGCAUGCGCAAUGGCAAGAUCAAUUAUACUGAGGAUCCGCCAGUAUUACACGUGGCCCUGCCGAACCAAACACACCCAUUCUGGUGGAUGGCCAGGAUGUGAUGCCAGAGGUCAACAGAGUCCUGGACAAGAUGCAAACUUUCUGCCAGCGUGUGCAGAGUGGUGAAUGGAAGGGGUACACAGGCAAGGCUGUCAUGGACGUCAUCAACAUUGACAUCAGAGGCUCCGACCUGGGGCCCCUCAUGGUGACUGAAGCCUGCAAGCCAUACUCCUCAGAGGGUCCCCCGGUUCUGGUUUGUCUUCAACAUUGAUGGAACCCACAUUUUCAAAACCCUGGCCAACCUGAGCCCGGAUUCUUCCCUGUUCAUCAUUGCCUCCAAGACGUGUACCACCCAGGAGACCAUCAAGAAUGCAGGAACGGCUCGGCUGAAGGAGUGCUUUCUCCUGACAGCCGAGGAUCCCUCAACAGUUGCAAAGCACUUUGUUGCCCUGUCCACCAAUACAGACAAAGUGAAGGAGUUUGGGAUGGACCGUGCAAAAAUGUCUGAGUUCUGGGAUUGGGUGGGAGGACGCCACUCCCUCUGGUCAGCCAUCGGACUCUCCAUUGCCCUGCACAUGGGUUUUGGCAACUUCCAGCAGCUGCUCUCAGGGGCUCACUGGAUGGACCAGCACUUUCACACGAAGCCUCUGGAAAAGAAUGCCCCUGUGCUGCUGGCCCUGCUGGGCGUCUGGUACAUCAGCUGCUUUGGGUUUGAGACCCACACCAUGCUGCCCUACGGCCAGUGCCUGCACCGCCUUGCUGCUUACUUCCAGCAAGGUAACAUGGAGUCCAACAGGAAGUACAUCACCAAGUCCAGUGUUCGUGUGGACCACCAGACGGGCCCCACUGUGUGGGGGGAGCCAGGGACCAAUGGCCAGCAUGCCUUCCACCAGCUCAUCCACCAACGCACCUAGAUGAUACCCUGUGACUUUCUCGUUCUGGUCCAGACCCAGCACCCAGAACAGAAGGGUUUGCAUCACAAGAUCCUCCUGUCCAAUUUCUUGACCCAGACAGAAGCCCUGAUGAAGCCGAAAUCUACAGAUGAAGCCUGGAAGGAACUCCAUACCGCAGGAAAUAAUCCAGAGGACUUGGAGAAGCUGCUGCUGCACAAGGUCUUUGAAGGAAAUCGCCCAGCCAACCCUAUCAUGUUCACGAAGCUCACACCAUUCAUCCUUGGAGCCUUGAUCGCCAUGAACGAGCACAAGAUCUUUGUUCAGGGCAUCAUCUGGGACACAACAGCUUUGACCGGAGGGGAGUGGAGCUGGGAAAGCAGCUGGCUAAGAAGAUAGAGCCUAAGCUCGAUGGCAGCACUCCAGUAACCUCGCAUGAGUCUUCCACUGAUGAGCUGAUCAACUUCAUCAAACGGGAGUACGAGGCCGUAAUCUAA